Molecule: ribosomal RNA, 439 nt
Filed under: uncultured bacterium
Lineage: Bacteria
Description: bacterial SSU rRNA
Rfam family: Bacterial small subunit ribosomal RNA
Source: RNAcentral
ACGCGUGGAACCUUACCAGGUCUUGACAUCCCGCUGACCGUCCUGGAGACAGGAUUUUCCCUUCGGGGACAGCGGUGACAGGUGGUGCAUGGUUGUCGUCAGCUCGUGUCGUGAGAUGUUGGGUUAAGUCCCGCAACGAGCGCAACCCUUGAUCUUAGUUGCCAGCAUUUAGUUGGGCACUCUAAGGUGACUGCCGGUGACAAACCGGAGGAAGGUGGGGAUGACGUCAAAUCAUCAUGCCCCUUAUGACCUGGGCUACACACGUGCUACAAUGGAUGGUACAAAGGGCUGCAAGACCGCGAGGUUUAGCCAAUCCCAUAAAACCAUUCUCAGUUCGGAUUGCAGGCUGCAACUCGCCUGCAUGAAGCCGGAAUCGCUAGUAAUCGCGGAUCAGCAUGCCGCGGUGAAUACGUUCCCGGGCCUUGCACACACCGCCCGU